Long non-coding RNA from Rhinopithecus roxellana (golden snub-nosed monkey), 233 nucleotides. RefSeq lists it as uncharacterized. The record is from RefSeq and is a predicted model, not a curated record. NCBI's taxonomy places the organism in Eukaryota, Metazoa, Chordata, Mammalia, Primates, Cercopithecidae. The transcript has 3 exons.
CUUAGUGGAAACAGCACACACCUGGCUGGGUCUUGCCAGGUGGAGACGCUGAAGGCUGUUUCUUUCCAGUCCUGGAAGACGCGGAAUUCUUUCUCAGCAGCUUUGCUCGGCCUGCGUCUGAGCGUGGAAGAUACCGCAUCCCAGAGUUGCUGUGAGCUUCAAACGAGACAAGAUAUGUAGAAGUGCCAGAACAGACUUCCUGUCUUGAGCACCUGCCCUGUUUAGGCUUCCCA